UACGGAGGGUGCAAGCGUUAUCCGGAUUCACUGGGUUUAAAGGGUGCGUAGGUGGGCUAGUAAGUCCGUGGGGAAAUCCCCGAGCUUAACUCGGGAACUGCCGUGGAUACUAUUAGUCUUGAAUAUCGUGGAGGUAAGCGGAAUAUGUCAUGUAGCGGUGAAAUGCUUAGAUAUGACAUAGAACACCGAUAGCGGAGGCAGCUUACUACGCGAUUAUUGACACUGAGGCACGAAAGCGUGGGGAUCAAACAGG
This 253-nucleotide ribosomal RNA is filed under the name uncultured bacterium. RNAcentral describes it as "partial 16S ribosomal RNA". It matches the Rfam family "Bacterial small subunit ribosomal RNA", at positions 524 to 776 of the family's 1533-position model. The record is from RNAcentral.